This 468-nucleotide ribosomal RNA is filed under the name uncultured bacterium. RNAcentral describes it as "partial 16S ribosomal RNA". It matches the Rfam family "Bacterial small subunit ribosomal RNA", at positions 28 to 507 of the family's 1533-position model. The record is from RNAcentral.
GACGAACGCUGGCGGCGUGCUUAACACAUGCAAGUCGAACGGAAAGGCCCUGCUUUUGUGUGGUGCUCGAGUGGCGAACGGGUGAGUAACACGUGAGUAACCUGCCCUUGACUUUGGGAUAACUUCAGGAAACUGGGGCUAAUACCGGAUAGGAGCUCCUGCUGCAUGGUGGGGGUUGGAAAGUUUAGGCGGUUGGGGAUGGACUCGCGGCUUAUCAGCUUGUUGGUGGGGUAGUGGCUUACCAAGGCUUUGACGGGUAGCCGGCCUGAGAGGGUGAACGGCGACAUUGGGACUGAGAUAGGGACCAGACUGCUACGGGAGACAGCAGUGGAGAGUAUUGCACAAUGGGCGGAAGCGUGAUGCAGCAACGCCGCGUGCGGGAUGACGGCCUUCGGGUUGUAAACCGCUUUCGCCUGUGACGAAGCGUGAGUGACGGUAAUGGGUAAAGAAGCACCGGCUAACUACGUG